ACUACGGGAGGCAGCAGUGAGGAAUAUUGGUCAAUGGUCGGGAGACUGAACCAGCCAAGCCGCGUGAGGGAUGAAGGUACAGAGUAUCGUAAACCUCUUUUGUCAGGGAACAAAGGCGGGGACGUGUCCCCGGAUGAGUGUACCUGAAGAAAAAGCAUCGGCUAACUCCGUGCCAGCAGCCGCGGUAAUAGGGAGGAUGCGAGCGUUAUCCGGAUUUAUUGGGUUGAAAGGGUGCGCGGGCGGUCUGUGAAGUGAGCGGUCAUAGGCCGGGGCUCAACCCCGGGCCGCCGUUGAAACUGGCAGUCUCGAGUUGGAGAGAAGUAUGCGGAAUGCGCGGUGUAGCGGUGAAAUGCAUAGAUAUCGCGCAGAACUCCGAUUGCGAAGGCAGCAUGCCGGCUCCACACUGACGCUGAGGCACGAAAGCGUGGGUAUCGAACAGGAUUAGAUACCCCAGUAGUC
RNAcentral lists this ribosomal RNA (459 nucleotides) under uncultured bacterium. RNAcentral describes it as "partial 16S ribosomal RNA". It matches the Rfam family "Bacterial small subunit ribosomal RNA", at positions 338 to 795 of the family's 1533-position model. The record is from RNAcentral.